This is a long non-coding RNA of Rattus norvegicus (Norway rat), 1275 nucleotides long. RefSeq lists it as uncharacterized. The record is from RefSeq and is a predicted model, not a curated record. NCBI's taxonomy places the organism in Eukaryota, Metazoa, Chordata, Mammalia, Rodentia, Muridae.
ACAAUGUUGUUAUUAGCCUAAGAGGGUCUCAGGAGAACUAAAGGGACCUGGAACAAGAAUUCCAAAGAGUUCCAAGCAUGUGUGUGAUGACACAGGUUCCAGAAAGGGUUGUCAUGGUAGGAAGUAUGCCAGUUCAUUCCAUUUCAAGACCAGCAGGCUCAGUCAACUACAUCCAAACCUUGGCACUACAACUACUACAACUACCUCAUGUCCUUGGGUUAAGUGAAGCCUCACAAGAUUACUGAAUUUAAAACAUCUCUGACACCCCACAAUGAAGAAAUUCAUGCAGCUGCCAAGCUAAAGACUGUGUUUCACAAAAUGUAUAGCUAGUCUUCAGUCCUAUCACUUGAACUAGUACUGCCAGAGCCAGGCUCCCAUCCAUCUUCUCCAAAUGUUACCUGAUAAUAGAGCCAAUCUUUCCUCUGCUCGAGGGUUUUUGUACCUUCUCCAGUCUUCCACUAACGGGGCUUACCGCCGGAUCAUGAGUGUGCUAGGUCAAAAUUGCAGACCUGCAUUGUGUUGCAUCUCUCCUCCUCAGCAUGACAACAUUAGACACAGCACUUCCAGUUUCGACACAGCAAUUGAAGCAAGUUCAGAGGAGAUUACCGCUGUGGACGCAACUUCAUUGAGACGCCAGAUCCUCAAGCUGAAUAGACGAUUGCAGCAUCUAGAAGAGGAGAACAAAGAACGAGCCAAAAGGGAAAUGGUCAUGUACUCAAUUACUGUAGCCUUCUGGCUGCUAAACUCCUGGCUUUGGUUGCGUCGCUAGAGUUUUCUCUCCCAAGACUUCUUCUUCAUUUAAGCAAGGAACCUGGUUGACAGAAGAUGUUUAACUACCGUUUGUGUCUGUGAGAGUUACAGUGGCCCCCAAAAGACAAGCAUCAAACAAAAGACCUUUACUAAGGAAAAAGGGGCAAGGAAGAGCUUGAAUGGGUGAAAAUAAGGAUGAAUGAAUGAACAGAAAAAUGAUGGAAUGAAGGGAUGCCUCAUUUGCAUGUCUUCCUAGAGAAUUGAGAAGAUCACUACUGAAACUUUUGGCUUCAGCCAACUUUUACUCUGCAUUUGGACCCAAAUUACUUCCCAUCUGGGCAGCCAACAGCCUAUUUGGAUUCAGAUUCUGUUUCUACAACAGAGAAGUGGCCUGAAGAAAAAGAAGACAAAAGCUAGGAAAUGCCAAAUGAACAGUUGGUUGGAAAGCAUGUGUCUCAUAAGAACACCGAAGCCUCCGCAGUCAUCCUUAGAGGGAGAGGAAUAAAUACUAUACCAAACUGGUAA